This 392-nucleotide ribosomal RNA is filed under the name uncultured bacterium. RNAcentral's name for it is "partial 16S ribosomal RNA". It matches the Rfam family "Bacterial small subunit ribosomal RNA", at positions 523 to 918 of the family's 1533-position model. The record is from RNAcentral.
AUACGUAGGGGACGAGCCUUGUCCGGAAUUACUGGGCGUAAAGGGCGCGCAGGCGGUAUAUCAAGUCAGCUGUCCAAGCCUGGGGUUCAACCAUAGUUAGCACUUGAAACUGUAUGACUCGAGUCCAGGAGAGGCAAGCGGCAUUGCUAGUGUAGGGGGGAAAUGCGUAGAUAUUAGGAGGAACACCAGUGGCAAACGCGGCUUACUUGACUGUAACUGACGCUGAGUCACGAAAGCGUGGGUAACAAACAGGAUUAGAUACCCUGGUAGUCCACGCUGUAAACGAUGAGUGCUAGGUGUUGGGUAGCGAUACUCAUUGCCGUAGUAAACACAAUAAGCGCUCCGCCUGGGGAGUACGUACGCAAGUAGGAAACUCAAAUGAAUCGACGGGG